AGAAAGGUCAUUGCCCAGUGGUGGAGCAUCUGCUUUGCAUGCAGAAGGUCCUUGGUUCAAUCCCCAGCAUUUCCA
This is a non-coding RNA of Podarcis lilfordi (Lilford's wall lizard), 75 nucleotides long. NCBI's taxonomy places the organism in Eukaryota, Metazoa, Chordata, Lepidosauria, Squamata, Lacertidae. The record is from the annotation of a GenBank genome assembly.